RNAcentral lists this ribosomal RNA (232 nucleotides) under uncultured bacterium. RNAcentral describes it as "partial 16S ribosomal RNA". It matches the Rfam family "Bacterial small subunit ribosomal RNA", at positions 99 to 334 of the family's 1533-position model. The record is from RNAcentral.
CGGACGGGUGAGUAAUGUCUGGGAAACUGCCUGAUGGAGGGGGAUAACUACUGGAAACGGUAGCUAAUACCGCAUAACGUCGCAAGACCAAAGAGGGGGACCUUCGGGCCUCUUGCCAUCGGAUGUGCCCAGAUGGGAUUAGCUAGUAGGUGGGGUAACGGCUCACCUAGGCGACGAUCCCUAGCUGGUCUGAGAGAAUGACCAGCCACACUGGAACUGAGACACGGUCCAG